CCUACGGGAGGCAGCAGUGGGGAAUAUUGGACAAUGGGCGAAAGCCUGAUCCAGCCAUGUCGCGUGUGUGAAGAAGGCCUUCGGGUUGUAAAGCACUUUCAGUGGGGAAGAAAGCCUUGGGGCUAAUACCCUCGAGGAAGGACAUCACCCACAGAAGAAGCACCGGCUAACUCCGUGCCAGCAGCCGCGGUAAUACGGAGGGUGCGAGCGUUAAUCGGAAUUACUGGGCGUAAAGCGCGCGUAGGCGGUCUGAUAAGCCGGUUGUGAAAGCCCCGGGCUCAACCUGGGAACGGCAUCCGGAACUGUCAGGCUAGAGUGCAGGAGAGGAAGGUAGAAUUCCCGGUGUAGCGGUGAAAUGCGUAGAGAUCGGGAGGAAUACCAGUGGCGAAGGCGGUCUUCUGGACUGACACUGACGCUGAGGUGCGAAAGCGUGGGUAGCAAACAGGAUUAGAUACCCGAGUAGUC
RNAcentral lists this ribosomal RNA (465 nucleotides) under Vreelandella stevensii. Its description in RNAcentral is "partial 16S ribosomal RNA". It matches the Rfam family "Bacterial small subunit ribosomal RNA", at positions 338 to 795 of the family's 1533-position model. Lineage: Bacteria; Pseudomonadati; Pseudomonadota; Gammaproteobacteria; Oceanospirillales; Halomonadaceae. The record is from RNAcentral.